This 483-nucleotide long non-coding RNA is filed under the name Homo sapiens (human). Its description in RNAcentral is "HSALNT0198060". The record is from RNAcentral. Lineage: Eukaryota; Metazoa; Chordata; Mammalia; Primates; Hominidae.
AACAAUACUGUUGGGUUGGCUGUGAAGUGAGGAUUUGCUGUGUGAUUUGUGGUGAAUUAGGCAUUUCUUGAGAAUGUAGGUUUCUAGAAGUAUUAAAAGAUGGCUUGACUCUGCAGUGUUGUAAAUAUUUCCCUAAAAUUUGGACAUUUCUCCAGUAAAACGUGUCUGAUGGGUUAGGACCAUUUGUCUCCAAGGAAUGGCAGUGGUUUUCUUUUUAAUUGUUUGUUUGUGUUUUUCAAGAUAAUGCUGAGAGACAUCCAAGGAGUACAGUUCAAGAGGUGAUUUUAAAAAGCAGAUAAUUACUUGAGAAUGGCUAGAGUCAUUGGAAUCUGAUUAGCUCCUUUCACUAUCAAAUACCUAUUUUGAUUUUCAAUACUAGGGAGAAACUGAUUUUAUCACAUUAUAAUGUUUAUUGCAAAACAAAGUCAUAACUCUUUAAAAAUGUGUAUGUUGGUCAUGUUUAUUUAAAAUUACAUUUAAGGA